RNAcentral lists this ribosomal RNA (253 nucleotides) under uncultured bacterium. RNAcentral's name for it is "partial 16S ribosomal RNA". It matches the Rfam family "Bacterial small subunit ribosomal RNA", at positions 524 to 776 of the family's 1533-position model. The record is from RNAcentral.
GACGGAGGGCGCAAGCGUUGUUCGGAAUUACUGGGCGUAAAGCGCGCGCAGGCGGGCAGAUAAGUCUGGAGUGAAAUUCCGGGGCUCAACUCCGGAGCUGCUUUGGAUACUGUUUUUCUAGGGACCGGUAGAGGCCGGUGGAAUUCCCGGUGUAGCGGUGGAAUGCGUAGAGAUCCGGAAGAACACCGGUGGCGAAGGCGGCCUGCUGGGCAGUUGCUGACACUGAGGCGCGACAGCGUGGGGAGCAAACAGG